GAGACUCAACACGUUCUCAAGCUACUGGGGGUGGGGGAAGCAAUAUACAAACACAAUACAAGCUAACCAGUGAUAUGAAGUGGCACACUGUCGUCUGAGAGUGGCCUUGAUGAGCAAGUGAUGCGCACAUCACUGUGGCCUGCUUCUGUCCUCCUUCUCUACCAGAAGAAAGUGGUUGCUCAGUGCAGAAGACAGGGAAAAUGAGAGCAGUCUCAGAAAUAGAUGCAGUUGGAAGAAAGCAGUGCAGUUGUCUCCGCAAUACAGACAGCAGAGAGUUCCAGUUCCCAGAAAGCUCUUCUGUCUUCUCCCUGAUGAUGACUGAUGUUGGAAAUGAGAAGCUGAGACAUGGCAAAGCCACGCUUCUGAAUCAACCAUGGAGCCAGCAUUAACUA
RNAcentral lists this long non-coding RNA (392 nucleotides) under Homo sapiens (human). Its description in RNAcentral is "HSALNT0194472". The record is from RNAcentral. Lineage: Eukaryota; Metazoa; Chordata; Mammalia; Primates; Hominidae.